UUCCAUUUUCAGGAUGUCUGCAGCUGUUUGAAAGUAAAUCUAGAUGAAACAGUGACCCAUCAGCAGAAGGAAAUGAGCCUCGGUUUUCCCCACUGUAGUGACAGAUUUUUGCAGAACCAUUUGCAGGUUUUUCCCCCUGUUUACUCUGAAAGAUAGUAGCUCUUUCCCAGUCAUUCCAGAAGUCCAAUGAUGGCUCAUUCAUAUGAGUGAGGUCCAGCACCUAGGCCUGAGCCUGUCACUGGAGCCAGGAAAACAACUUGAGAUAGAUUCUUUUGGAUCCUCACUGCAUGAGUCCUGGAGGAGAAGCAAUGGCACUGUUUUCUAACAGACAACACUUCCCAUCUGAACAGAAAUCAAGCACACUGUUAUAGCCAGGUAUGUUAUAACAAGGACCUAGUAGAAUUUCACU
Molecule: non-coding RNA, 409 nt
Organism: Saimiri boliviensis boliviensis (Bolivian squirrel monkey)
Lineage: Eukaryota; Metazoa; Chordata; Mammalia; Primates; Cebidae
Source: RefSeq, a predicted model, not a curated record